RNAcentral lists this ribosomal RNA (270 nucleotides) under uncultured bacterium. RNAcentral describes it as "partial 16S ribosomal RNA". The stretch from base 57 to 270 matches the Rfam family "Bacterial small subunit ribosomal RNA", at positions 563 to 776 of the family's 1533-position model. The record is from RNAcentral.
UACGAAAGGCGCAAGUAUUAAACAUAUGAUUUGGUGUAAAGUGUUUUUAUUCGCGUAUGCGAUUGGACGGUAUUUCUAUAUGUUUUUUGCAAAAGUUUAAAUUAAUCAUUUAAAAAUGCAUCUUAUACUAUUAUACUUGAGUAAAACAGGGGGCAACAGAAAAUCAUUUCGGCAGGGGGUAAAAUCUCGUUAUGAUAGAAUGCCAGUGGCGAAAGCGGUUGCCUGGGUUUUUACUGACGUUUACGAACGAAAGCAUGGGGAGCAAACAGG